UACGUAGGGUGCAAGCGUUGUCCGGAAUUAUUGGGCGUAAAGAGCUCGUAGGCGGUUUGUUGCGUCGGCUGUGAAAUCCCGAGGCUCAACCUCGGGCCUGCAGUCGAUACGGGCAGACUAGAGUGUUUCAGGGGAGACUGGAAUUCCUGGUGUUGCGGUGAAAUGCGCAGAUAUCAGGAGGAACACCGGUGGCGAAGGCGGGUCUCUGGGCAACAACUGACGCUGAGGAGCGAAAGCGUGGGGAGCGAACAGG
RNAcentral lists this ribosomal RNA (253 nucleotides) under uncultured bacterium. RNAcentral describes it as "partial 16S ribosomal RNA". It matches the Rfam family "Bacterial small subunit ribosomal RNA", at positions 524 to 776 of the family's 1533-position model. The record is from RNAcentral.